CCUACGGGUGGCAGCAGUUGGGAAUAUUGGGCAAUGGGCGCAAGCCUGACCCAGCAACGCCGCGUGAAGGAAGAAGGCUUUCUGGUUGUAAACUUCUUUUGUCAGGGAAGAGUAGCCGACGGUACCUGACGCAUAAUCCACGGCUAACUACGUGCCAGCAGCCGCGGUAAUACGUAGGUGGCAAGCGUUGUCAGGAUUUACUGGGUGUAAAGGGCGUGUAGCCGGGUUGACAAGUCAGAUGUGAAAUCCUGCGGCGUAACCGCAGAACUGCAUUUGAAACUGUUGAUCUUGAGUACUGGAGAGGCAGAUGGAAUUCCGAGUGUAGCGGUGAAAUGCGUAGAUAUUAGGAGGAACACCAGUGGCGAAGGCGGUCUGCUGGACAGCAACUGACGGUGAGGCGCGAAAGCGUGGGGAGCAAACAGGAUUAGAUACCCCAGUAGUC
RNAcentral lists this ribosomal RNA (442 nucleotides) under uncultured bacterium. Its description in RNAcentral is "partial 16S ribosomal RNA". It matches the Rfam family "Bacterial small subunit ribosomal RNA", at positions 338 to 795 of the family's 1533-position model. The record is from RNAcentral.